Molecule: non-coding RNA, 83 nt
Organism: Pangasianodon gigas (Mekong giant catfish)
Lineage: Eukaryota; Metazoa; Chordata; Actinopteri; Siluriformes; Pangasiidae
Source: the annotation of a GenBank genome assembly
GUCAGAAUGGCUGAGUGUUCUAAGGUGCUGUCUUCAGGUUGAAGUCUCUUCUGGAGGUGUGGGUUUGAAUCCCACAUUUGACA